UUUGUACAUCUUUUAUUUUCUGUAAAUAAUGGCUUUUCUUUCCUGUUAUUGUGUCAACCUCCAGUUCUGUGUCGACAUCGUCGUCAAUAUCAACAUCAUCAAGUGUGUCCACUUCAUCAAGUGUGUCUACUUCAAGUUCUGUGUCGACAUCAUCGUCAGUAUCAACAUCAUCAAGUGUGUCCACUUCAUCAAGUUUGUCGACAUCAAGU
Orbicella faveolata is the source of this 209-nucleotide long non-coding RNA. NCBI's taxonomy places the organism in Eukaryota, Metazoa, Cnidaria, Anthozoa, Scleractinia, Merulinidae. The record is from RefSeq and is a predicted model, not a curated record.